RNA transcript from Brassica oleracea var. oleracea, 1668 nucleotides. RefSeq lists it as uncharacterized. The transcript is spliced from 4 exons. NCBI's taxonomy places the organism in Eukaryota, Viridiplantae, Streptophyta, Magnoliopsida, Brassicales, Brassicaceae. The record is from RefSeq and is a predicted model, not a curated record.
UCCAAAAGCUCAGUCCAAGAGAAACCUUAGAACGUGAGGCUGGGUUGAUGAUUUCCUUCGACAUCUCCACUUCUAAGUGGAUCGUCUAUCUCCUAGAUCCGUCGUUUCCUCUUCUUCAAUAGAUCGUUGAUCUCCUAGCUUCGUCGUUUCCACUUCUUCAACGGAUCGUCGAUCAAUCGACACACUACUCCAUCUCUGUUCAAUGAAUCCUCCGAAAAUCUCAUUUAUUGCUUCCUUUUGCCUUCAUCCCUCUAUGUUUCUUUAUAUCUCUAUUAUUCUUCUCAGAUUUAUUACACACAAAAAUAUUCUCUCCAUCGAUGAAUUCCAACAGCAAAUCCCAUGUUUCCGGCAAUCUUAUUUCGAAGAAACCAAACGGAAAGGACAAGUGGUGACGAUUAUCAGUUCGAUUAGCUGAAAAUUCACGAGCAUAAAAAUUUUUUACAAGCAGACAACAAAGAAAGGGAUCUCCAAGUCAAAGCCUUCUUCGCGGAAAGCCCCUCCCAAACACGCGGCCACCCAAGUUUCUGAUGCUACGCAGCGGGAGAUGUUGAUUUCGCACGACUCCCUCGAUGUCAACGGUCAUCGCCGUCUUGCUUGCGUGGCUGACCAACGUCGCCGCGAAGCUAUCCAUGGUUGGUUCCAGUUUCGAUCGGAAGCAUUUGAAAAGCUAAUAAAAGUUUACCACAUUCACAGUUUCAAAUACAAUUCUCUCUGAUAUUUUCAUCCCCAUGACCUUUGCUUGAUUUCUCUUUAUUUGCUUCUCCGGUAACAAUAAAAGGUAAAGGGGCGAGAAGAAGGCGCAUACGACAUACCACCAUUCUCUCUACUAUAGGAGAAGCACGCGCAAGAGCCUGGCAAGUGGCAACUCCACCAGUAGCAGUAUUUUGCUUUUCUCGGCUUAUAUCUUUUUUUUCUUCUUUUUUAUAAAUAUGUGUUUCGUUAUGUAUAGAUUCAAAUGUCGUUGGUCAGAUUUUUUUUCAAUUCAGAGGGAAGAUUUGGUAUGUUUUUCUUUCUGAGGAUUUUGUAGAUCGGACAAGGGAUACAUUAGUGUGUUCGGUGCACGAGAGCCUGAGACAGGAAGAAUACUGGCUUUGAAGAAGGCUAGGUUUGACAAUUUUGAGGCAGAUAGUGUUAGGUCCAUCAAAAUACAGAUUGUGAUACUUAGGAGACUUAAUCAAUGUUUUCUCUUAAAUCAAAAGCUAAUUGUAGGACUUAGCAUUUGGGUAUUUCGAGCAUAUAUAAAGGUAUAGGUCUUAAGAAAGAAUGGGCAAGUUAAAUGUUUUAUGAGUCAUAGUAUUCUAGCAUGAAUAAGGGGUUCGAAGAGAUUCAUGCAAGAUGUAAAUGCUUGUGUGCUAAACUAAAAGUAGAAGCAUUAGCACGUGCCAGGAAAGAGUUUGUGCAUACAAGUAACGGGGUUGUUCUUUGCAGAAGUCUAAUAAAGUGGAGAAAGAUCAUGAAAAGAGCUACAUUUGGUGGCUGAUGGUCAAAAGGGUUUUGUAAAUUUGGUAUCAUUUUGGUUGGGGAAAAGAAACAUGAGGCAAUGUAAGUUUAUAUUAUGUUAUGAACUCCAAAGUUAUUGAAUGUUAUUCUUACACCCAACAACUUCAAAAGCACAAGAGAAGUGAAUAAGUGAUGUACUACUAUGAAAACCUUCUGUAAUUGUAACUC